AUUGAACGCUGGCGGCAGGCCUAACACAUGCAAGUCGAGCGGAUGAAGGGAGCUUGCUCCUGGAUUCAGCGGCGGACGGGUGAGUAAUGCCUAGGAAUCUGCCUGGUAGUGGGGGAUAACGUCCGGAAACGGGCGCUAAUACCGCAUACGUCCUGAGGGAGAAAGUGGGGGAUCUUCGGACCUCACGCUAUCAGAUGAGCCUAGGUCGGAUUAGCUAGUUGGUGGGGUAAAGGCCUACCAAGGCGACGAUCCGUAACUGGUCUGAGAGGAUGAUCAGUCACACUGGAACUGAGACACGGUCCAGACUCCUACGGGAGGCAGCAGUGGGGAAUAUUGGACAAUGGGCGAAAGCCUGAUCCAGCCAUGCCGCGUGUGUGAAGAAGGUCUUCGGAUCGUAAAGCACUUUAAGUUGGGAGGAAGGGCAGUAAGUUAAUACCUUGCUGUUUCGACGUUACCAACAGAAUAAGCACCGGCUAACUUCGUG
RNAcentral lists this ribosomal RNA (484 nucleotides) under uncultured bacterium. RNAcentral's name for it is "partial 16S ribosomal RNA". It matches the Rfam family "Bacterial small subunit ribosomal RNA", at positions 30 to 507 of the family's 1533-position model. The record is from RNAcentral.